AUGGGGACGGGCAGGCUGCAGCUGGCCCUCCUCUCUGGGCUCAUGCUGCUGUCCUUGUCCCCGGCAGGGCCAUGCACGGGGGCUGCCGAGGCGUUCACGGAGCCUCAGCUCCGAGCUAGGGCUGGCGACUCCGUGCUGCUGCAGUGCCUCUUCCUGGACCCCGACAGCAAGGGAUGGACCCUGCACAAAGUGGACUGGCUGCUCAAGGCAGGAGCUGGCACGCAGGAGGAGAUGGUGUUUUUUUACUACAGCAACCACGGCGUCCCCGCGGGCCGCUUCAAGAACCGGGUGCAGUGGCGGGGGAACAUCUCCCGGGGACGGCUCCAUCCUGCUGCGGGACCUGAGUCUCAACGACAGCGGCACCUACGAGUGCGAGCUGCGGCUGCUGGAGACCAGCAGCGUCUUCAGGAGCCGCACGGUGCUGCUCGUCAGCCCCGCCGUGCCCCCCGGUGCCGAGGAUGCGGCGCCCCCGGCUGCGUGGCCGUGGUGGUGGCGUUCCUGGCCGGGCUCUGCGUGAGGAAGAGGUUUGCAACCGUCACGGCCCUGGAGAGGAUGGGGAAGAGCAGCAGCAAGGGCAAAGCAGAGGAAGCAAUUUACUCCUCAAUCCCCGGAGCCGAGGUGCCCAAGGCUGAGCAGGAAGCAAAGAAGAAGAGGAGAGCUGAGGACACAUACAUAACCAUGCACCCAUCUCACUGCCGGGACAACGGCGUCUACGUGGAGCUGGCCAAGAGGGCCAUCCCGUCAGAGUGGAUGGCAGAGGGGACCCAGGGGCAUGGACAGAGCCAGGAGCCCCUCAGUAGGCCAGAGGAGGCACCUCCCCAGCCCCCAGAGCGGCAGAAGUAGCUGUGCUGGGGGAUGGCAGCCCUUUCCCAGGUGUGUCCGGGAUACCUUUGUCCCUCUGAGGACUGAGAACUGGUGACACGUCGCUGUGUGCCCCAUGCCAGGGCAGUGCUGGGGCACAGCCCACCCCAGCUGUCUGCAGGGGACCAGGGGACACCUGUCCCUGCAGCUCUUGCCCCCCUGGACUCGAGAGAGCGGGCACAGCCUCACGCUCCAGCUCUGAUCCUGGCCCAGGAUGAGGAUCCCCAAGGGGGGAGAUGCAGCAGGAGCUGUCACAGUAUUUUUCUGCAGAUAAUAAAACUCAGGGAAUCUUCCCUGAUGCUGUCUGU
This 1169-nucleotide long non-coding RNA is filed under the name Serinus canaria (Common canary). RNAcentral's name for it is "lncRNA (ENSSCAG00000005710.1)". The record is from RNAcentral. Lineage: Eukaryota; Metazoa; Chordata; Aves; Passeriformes; Fringillidae.